RNAcentral lists this ribosomal RNA (440 nucleotides) under uncultured bacterium. RNAcentral's name for it is "partial 16S ribosomal RNA". It matches the Rfam family "Bacterial small subunit ribosomal RNA", at positions 338 to 795 of the family's 1533-position model. The record is from RNAcentral.
CCUACGGGAGGCAGCAGUAGGGAAUAUUGCUCAAUGGGGGAAACCCUGAAGCAGCAACGCCGCGUGAAGGAUGAAGGUUCUCGGAUUGUAAACUCCUUUUGUUAGAGAAGAAAAUAACGGUAUCUAACGAAUAAGCACCGGCUAACAUCGGGCCAGCAGCAGCGGUAAUACGGAGGGAGCCAGCGUUACUCGGAGUAACUGGGCGUAAAGAGCGCGUAGGAGGGAUAGCAAGUCAGACGUGAAAGCCUAGGGCUUAACCAUAGAACUGCAUUUGAAACUGUUAGUCUAGAGUAGUGGAGAGGUAGGUGGAAUUCUUGGUGUAGGGGUAAAAUCCGUAGAGAUCAAGAGGAAUACUCAUUGCGAAGGCGGCCUGCUAGACCAUAACUGACGCUGAUGCGCGAAAGCGUGGGGAGCAAACAGGAUUAGAUACCCGAGUAGUC